UGAUCUCUUUUUCUACAUCUGGGAAGGAGAACAACUUGAUACAUCAGUGCUCUUAUGGGUCGAGUCUGCAAUGUCUUGAGGACAACUCGAUCUUUCAUGGAUUUCGAGUGGUGUCGAUUGACGAAUGGAGCAUGUGUCGAUCGAUGUUGAGACGCUGGUGUCGAUCGAUGUUGAGGUCGCACUACAAGAAAAAAACAAGGAUACUG
This 206-nucleotide long non-coding RNA is filed under the name Brassica napus (rape). Its description in RNAcentral is "long non-coding RNA (BNAP_LNC025624)". The record is from RNAcentral. Lineage: Eukaryota; Viridiplantae; Streptophyta; Magnoliopsida; Brassicales; Brassicaceae.